UACGUAGGGUGCAAGCGUUGUCCGGAAUUAUUGGGCGUAAAGAGCUCGUAGGCGGUCUGUCGCGUCUGCUGUGAAAACUCGGGGCUUAACCCCGGGCCUGCAGUGGGUACGGGCAGACUAGAGUGCGGUAGGGGAGACUGGAAUUCCUGGUGUAGCGGUGCAAUGCGCAGAUAUCAGGAGGAACACCGGUGGCGAAGGCGGGUCUCUGGGCCGUAACUGACGCUGAGGAGCGAAAGCGUGGGGAGCGAACAGG
RNAcentral lists this ribosomal RNA (253 nucleotides) under uncultured bacterium. Its description in RNAcentral is "partial 16S ribosomal RNA". It matches the Rfam family "Bacterial small subunit ribosomal RNA", at positions 524 to 776 of the family's 1533-position model. The record is from RNAcentral.